GAAACAAAGUAGGGUUCCAAACACUUUUGGCUUUUUCCCAGCAACCACCACGUCUCUUUCCCUCUUUAUGAACAAAAAAUAGCCUCCUCUCUCCUAAAUAAAAACCUGUAGCUCCAUUUUGGUAAAAGUUUGCAAAAUCUUCCUCUCUCAUCUCUGUCACAAGAUUUGGUCAAGCUAAAAAAGCCAAAAAAAAACUUUUGAAGAAAUUGGCGUAUUCAGAGAUUGAUAUUUCUUUCCAAACGGCUCUUUUGGAGCCAAAAAUAUCUACCCUCUUUGUUUGUUCAAAUUUCGAAUCUGAAAACCCUAUAUUUUCCCUAUAAAUAGUCUCUUUAAGGUUCCAGCCGAAGGGGGGCUAAAAAAAAAAAAAACAAAGGUUUUGGAACCAAAAAAAUACUCUCUCAUUUAAGUUGUUGAUUUUUUUUUCUACUAUCUCUCAAAGUAACUUUAGUAUUUUCCUCAAUCGAUCUCUGUCCGUUUUGAUUUCGUUCGAAGGCGAAUAGAUCUAAGACCUCAAAGCCCCGUUCACUACUCCCGUGGAAGGUUUAUUUGGUCUGCUAUUUGGACUUUCUUAUGUCGGAUUCUAGUUUCAGUUCUAAGAGCUUGUACUAGUGUAUGAGUAAUAUUCUUUAAGAAGAUUACUCCAUCUCUUGUAAUCAUACAACUUCCAUUAUUAUGUAACAUAAAGUCUAAUCCUAUGACAAAAUCUACAUUUAUAUUCAAGUCUCUUACCCA
Molecule: long non-coding RNA, 732 nt
Organism: Lycium barbarum (goji berry)
Lineage: Eukaryota; Viridiplantae; Streptophyta; Magnoliopsida; Solanales; Solanaceae
Exons: 2
Source: RefSeq, a predicted model, not a curated record